UGUUGGGCUGCUGAGGGGCGAUGAGGCCAGCCUGGGAGUGGUGGUGGAGAGCCCCCCUGAGCAGGACAGCAGCACAGAGGGCAGGAAGCCAAGCCAAGAGGCUGGGAGGGACGAUCCCUGCUGAUGGCGUCGAGCACCCAGGCUGUCAGCUGGAUGAGAAUGGAGAGCUCUACCUGCUUCUCCUGCUGUGCUGUGCCCGGUGUCCAGAGCCAGCCGGCAGCAGCAGGGCAUCAGUGACGUGCGCUGGACCAGUGAACACUGCAGACCACACAGGAGCAUACUUCCAGGAGUGCUAAGCGCCGUUGGCUCCUUCACUGUCCAUGGAGCCCAGCUCUGUGCCCGGCCCUGACUUGCACUGUAGGCAUCAUGGCCGUGAAGGAGACAAACUCUGCCGCCCCCUGGAGCCGACGUCACAGAGGGGCAAACAGUGAGCAGAGCACAGCAGCCCACUGUGCAUGUGCAGCCAGAAGCGUCUUCUCCAAUGGAGGCCGAGGACGUCACUCCCUGGUCCUGAUCCCCUGCUCCUUAGAACCUGAGCCAGGGCCCUUGCAGUGGAACUGAGCUUGGACUAAUGAGGCAGCUCAGAGGUAGCCGCUGGCCAGCCAGCCAGGGCCCAACCUCACAGAAGAGGAGAAAGCCUCAUCAGCAGAGCAUUCCACUGUCAGAGCUGACUGCUUUCCAGGCCUGAGCUGGAGGAUAUCUAAGCUGGGCCGUGCUCUUCCAGUGGGAUCAAUGCCUGAUUCACCUCAGGGAGCCCGAUGGGGUCUGGCCAGGUGCCCAGCAUGUGGGCUUCGCAGAGGGCCCUGCUCUCUGUGGGUGAAGGAAAAUCUUCUCUGCCCGCUCAGAUGCUGGGACCGUCCCAGGGCCGUCUCAUGAGCAGGUGGAAAGACUCUGCAUGCAGUGUCACCGGCCUUGCGAGCAGCAGCCAGCGGCCUCCUGGACAUCCUCAGGCUUCUGAGGAGCCCCUGCGGAAGCUCCCUGACACACGACCCUCCCUCUGGACCCCAAGAUGUCUGGCUUCCUGUGGAGCUCCCUUAGACAUGGAGCUGGGUGAGCAGCCCAGACCUCGGUCAGCACUCCCAGGGGGAUCGCUCUGCACCACUGUCAUAAAAAGGAGACAUCGUCCCAGUGGACAGGCCCAGCUCCUGCGUUACAGUCAGAAAACUCAGCCUGACGUGGAAGUGACCCGAGGCUGCUUUGAGGGCCCAAACCCGUGCCGCAGUCCAGGCUCUGAGGUUUCACCUCAGUGGGGCUGAAAUGCAGACCUGCAGUGAGGGUGGCCCCUCCUCAUGACCCCAGGUGCCUCCAGGCCGUCCUCCUAGUUCACCAAGUGUUUUGGACACGAUGCUUCUUAGGUCACGGAGGUGCCAGGUCCCUUCUGAGUUGAAUCUCUGCAGAUAGUGCCACUGUGGUUGGCAUAGCUCCGCUGGCCGCUGGACCAAGGCCUCUCACCUGCAUAUCCCUGCAUGUCCACGUGUCCUUCUUGCACGGCCCCCACGCACAGCGGAAGGCGUCCACCUUGGGCCGAACUCCGACGCCGCUGGCCAGCUCUGGAUUCUAUGUCUCACCUCCACAUAAAUGCAGGGGGGCGGCUCGACCUCCCGCUCUGGGAUGGGACUGGCUGGGACCUCACAUGGGCCAUACCCUGUUCGGCUUGCCAGGCCGGGUCCUGCUCGGCAGGCAGCAGCACAGGCCUCGUAGCACUGUGAGCAGCUUCCCAGUGGCGCCCCCACCUCUGGCCCUGGCUGCAGCCUGAAGGGGAGGCUGGGGUCGCCCCACCAGGCUAUCCAGCCUGCCGAGAGUCUCUGUGGCAGUUUCCCUCCCGGGCCCCACGGCUGGUGCUGGUGCUGUGGGUGGAGGGGACGGCCCCGGGGACCCGCGGAGAGGUCGGGCUGGGGGUGGUGGCGCCCGACUCCAGGCGAGCAGGCUCUGUGACCUUCAGCACUGACUCCUGCUUCUCCUCGGGCCACUGACAGCCAGCCUCGCAAAGCCAGGUGGGCAGAACCGGCUCACUGCCACCACGUCAGCCGAGAUGGGCAGAGGCCCUCAGCUGUGCUGUGCAGGCUGGCAAAGAGCUGCAGCUGCUGGCCUCGGCGGACGGGAGGGACCUCCCGGUGCUGGUGUGCCCAUCCCCCUGGGCCUUCUGAGACUUCAGGAUGAAGAACAUGCCCACACUAUUGUCAUACCUUCAUCUGCGAGACUCCUGGAUUUGAUUCCACUGAAAACCCAUCUUCAUCAUUGCUUCUGUCACCCAGGAGUCCCUUGUGUCACAAGGCAGCUCCUAUACGGGCUCAGUUUCGGCCAGCUCUGAUUGACCCAUGGGUCUCCCAUGACCUCUUCUAAGGUCUUCCUCUUCCUGGGGUCAAGGGUCAGCAGGACUCUCAUAAUUGGAUGCAUUCCAACAAAAGGAGCAUGGGGAGCGAGUAGGCCCCUCUGAGCAUGCUCUGCCGCACGUCACUGAAGUCCUCUCCCCAGAACGGCGGGGACCCAGUGAGCAUGACAUGGAGCAGCACGCCAAGGCUCCAGCCGUCAGCUGGGGGGCCGUCUUAGGGCUGCAGUCGCAGGACCUCCGGGGCCGUGUAGCCGGGGGUGCCCCAGUAGGUGCUCAGUGGCCGGCCGGGGACCACGCUGCUGAGGCCGAAGUCGGCCAGCUUCGCGUUCCCCUCCGGGUCCAGGAGCACGUUCUCCAGCUUCAGGUCCCGGUGCACGAUGCCCUUGCGGUGGCAGUACUGGAGAGCCGAGACGAGCUGCCGGGACCGGCCGCGGGCCUCCUCCGUCAGGGGGCCAUGCUGCAACCGAGGGUCGAGGGUGUCCCCUCUGCUGAUGUAUUCUGUGAUGAUGAACAGCGUCUCCUCCGUGUCGAUCACCUCUAGCAGCUUUACAAUGUGGGGUGGUGCAAUAUCUUCAAACUCUGCAUUUCACCGAGGAGUCUCUUGGCUCUGGAGGAGCUCUGCUCCUGCUUCGGGGUGAUUUUCACGGCAACCUCUGUCCCGGCCGGGAUGUGCAGGGCCAGCUUCACCUGUGAAGGAGCCCUCCCCAAUGGUCCUGAGGAGCUCGUAAUCGUGAAGACAGGUCUGCCUGCCAGAGAGGUGGCAGCGAGGCCUGGAAGCAUGGUGACCUCAUAACUACACUUACUGACAAUACCAACCAGUGAUGCUAACUAUGCUUACUAACUACGCCAACAAACAAAAUGUUAGUCUGCUAACUAAUACUGACUAACAAUAGUAACAAGGCCACCGAUGCUUGCUAACUUACUAACUAUGCUAAUAAGUAACACUAACUAUACCAAAGAUGCUAACUCUACUAACUACACCAACAAUACUAACUAUACUAACUGUAAUAACAAUACUAACUAAAAAAUUGUUUUAAAAUGUGAAAAAGAACAAAAAAGGCAAGGAAAAAUAAAAAAUGAGAAAAGAACAGGUUUUCGUAAAUUCCAUCACAGUGGCUCCUUAUGAAGUCAGAGCAGGAAAUGCACCAGGCAUGGCUGGGGAUAAACUAUAGUGGUUGGCUCCCUUUUUGGUCUCAAGAACACGUUACUGUGAAAAAAAAAAAACAGGACAGCAAAGAGCUUUUUAUGUAUGUAGGAUAUUAGACAGUGAUAUUUACUUUAUUAGAAAUUAAAACCUGUAAGAUGCUUCAGUGGCCUUUUCAUUUCAUUUCUAAUUUUAAAAUCUCUAAUAAUUUUUGGCUGUUAAAGACCUCAAAACACCCACACUUAAAAUAUUCAACUCCUUUUCCUUAAACUCUGAUUACUCUCAAAAUGAUCCUACCACUGAAGGGCUGUCAUAAUCCUAUAGGAAAACUUUCUGUUGCAUGAGACCUGAGAAGGGACAUCAUUAACGCUGACAAAGCUGAGAGGAAGAGAGCUUUCCUCCUAUUUUCCCCAGUAAGAUCAGGAGCUGAUUUCUCACCAGAAACCUUGGAGGCCAGAGGGCAUGGGCUGACGUACCCAAAGUGCAGAAGUAAAAAAGAAUCCAACCAAG
Molecule: long non-coding RNA, 3986 nt
Filed under: Equus asinus (donkey)
Lineage: Eukaryota; Metazoa; Chordata; Mammalia; Perissodactyla; Equidae
Description: lncRNA (ENSEASG00005029179.1)
Source: RNAcentral